This 428-nucleotide unclassified non-coding RNA is filed under the name Hevea brasiliensis (rubber tree). Lineage: Eukaryota; Viridiplantae; Streptophyta; Magnoliopsida; Malpighiales; Euphorbiaceae. The record is from RNAcentral.
GAGAGAGAGAGAGAGAGAGAGACCGCAAGUUUGAAUUGUGUUCAAUUUGUGCAUGUCAUUGCAUUCCUACACCUGUAAGACGAUAUUUAUGUGUUGACAUUGUGCUUUAAAAUCAUCUAGUUUCUCCGUCUAAGAAAUUUAUGGUUGAAAUGGUUAAUUCAAUUAUCAUUCCAUUUUGUUAAACUUCAGGAGUGAAAGUUUUAAUCAUGUUGCAGAAGUUCCAUGGAUUGUGAUCAUCCAAUAAACCACUGGCAUGCUUAGUAUAAUGCUUCCAUGGAAUGUGUCUGCAAUUGAUUUUGACUAUGGAACAUGAAGUAAUCCUAUUCUUGUCCGUCAUUUUCUUACCUCCUGUAGGCCAAAGGUCUGGGCUAUGCAAUGAAUGCCUCUGAUGAGCUUCAGUUUGUCCAGGAAGUUGCUACAGCUACUGG